This 433-nucleotide ribosomal RNA is filed under the name uncultured bacterium. RNAcentral's name for it is "partial 16S ribosomal RNA". It matches the Rfam family "Bacterial small subunit ribosomal RNA", at positions 30 to 507 of the family's 1533-position model. The record is from RNAcentral.
CGAACGCUGGCGGCAGGCUUACCACAUGCAAGUCGAGCGGGCACUUUCGGGUGUCAGCGGCGGACGGGUGAGUAACGCGUGGGAACGUGCCCUCUGGUUCGGAAUAACUCAGGGAAACUUGAGCUAAUACCGGAUACGCCCUUUUGGGGAAAGGCUUGCUGCCGGAGGAUCGGCCCGCGUCUGAUUAGCUAGUUGGUUAGGUAACGGCUCACCAAGGCGACGAUCAGUAGCUGGUCUGAGAGGAUGAUCAGCCACACUGGGACUGAGACACGGCCCAGACUCCUACGGGAGGCAGCAGUGGGGAAUAUUGGACAAUGGGCGCAAGCCUGAUCCAGCCAUGCCGCGUGAGUGAUGAAGGCCUUAGGGUUGUAAAGCUCUUUUAUCCGGGACGAUAAUGACGGUACCGGAGGAAUAAGCCCCGGCUAACUUCGUG